CACGGAGGGGGCUAGCGUUGUUCGGAAUUACUGGGCGUAAAGCGCGCGUAGGCGGACCUGCAAGUCGGGGGUGAAAGUCCGAGGCUCAACCUCGGAAUGUCGGCGGAAACCCUCUGGCUAGAGUCCGGAAGAGGAGAGUGGAAUUCCCGGUGUAGCGGUGAAAUGCGCAGAUAUCAGGAAGAACACCCGUGGCGAAAGCGGCUCUCUGGAACGGUACUGACGCUGAGACGCGAAAGCGUGGGGAGCGAACAGG
Molecule: ribosomal RNA, 253 nt
Filed under: uncultured bacterium
Lineage: Bacteria
Description: partial 16S ribosomal RNA
Rfam family: Bacterial small subunit ribosomal RNA
Source: RNAcentral